Brassica oleracea var. oleracea is the source of this 2104-nucleotide long non-coding RNA. RefSeq lists it as uncharacterized. The record is from RefSeq and is a predicted model, not a curated record. Lineage: Eukaryota; Viridiplantae; Streptophyta; Magnoliopsida; Brassicales; Brassicaceae. The transcript is spliced from 12 exons.
GGCUUCCUCUACUUCUCCUAAAAUUGUGCUGCUCCAGUUACUCAAGCUUUGACUCUCUCCGGCUUGGUCGUACCACUCAAUUCAUUGUUGGCCGUCUCCUCCGCUUCUGGGAUUCCCGCAACAUAAAAAAAGGCGGUGAGUUUUAUUGGAAUCACACUGCUCGAUCUUCCUGGAUGAAAAGAUAACAGAUUAGAUAAACAAAUCCAAACAGAGGAGAAGUCGCAAAGAAUUUGAGUCGGUUUAGACCUUACCUAGAUUAGUUGGGAUCUAUUGUAGUUGAUCGCCGUGACGAAGAACCCCUAAUUUCAAUGGACACCCUCAGAUCCAGCCCUGGAUCCCUGAAAACUCAGCGCAUUGUUUCCCAUUUUCAUUUUGACGAUCAUGGCUAUUCCAGUGGUGCCUUACACCAUGGUCAAGUUAAGCCGUGCUGUCUCCAAGAAACAAAGGACCAUUCGUUGUCAAUGUCUCGAGUGUGACAGCUCUGGGAAAUAUAAGAGAUCCUUAUUUAAAAAGAUCUCUAACUUUUCUACAUGGAGCAACUUGACUCUUGUGUUACUAUGGGUCGUGAUCAUUUUCUUGAUUUAUUACACUAAGAACAUGAGCCGUGAGGUGCACAUUGCCCAGAGAGGUGCCAUUACACCAUUGAUUAAGACGCUUCAGUCAUCAGAUGAGCAGGUCGUGGAAAUGUCAGCUUUUGCUCUUGGUCGAUUGGCUCAGGACACACACAAUCAAGCUGGCAUCGGACAAAGAGGAGGCAUCAUCUCACUACUAAAUCUUCUUGAUGUGAAUACUGGAUCUCUCCAACACAAUAUUGCAUUUGCUUAGGCCUUGCAGAUAACGAGGAAAAUCUAGCAGAUUUCAUUAAGGCUGGAGGUAUCCAAAGGCUUCAAGAUGACAACUUCACCGUUCAACCGACUAGGGAUUGUGUGGUGAGGACAUUGAAGAGGCUAGAUAACAAGAUUCAUGGGCCUGCACUGAACCAAUUAUUAUAUCUGAUGAGAACCACUGAGAAGACUAUACAAAGGCAAAUUGAUUUGGCUCUUGCACAUAUUUGUGACCCUAAAGAUGGAAAAUUGAUUUCGUUGAUAACAAUGGGGUAAGAGUUUUUUUGGAGCUUUUAUACUUUCCAAGCAUGAAAGAGCAGACAUAUUGUUAGAGACCUUUAAUCGAAUAGAAAAGCUACUUCCAGUGCACCAGAGGACUCAGCUCCUUCCUCACCCACCAAUGGCAACUGGUGUUUCUGGGUGAGGAGUUUGUGAACAACCCUACUUUGUCUGAUGUCACAUUCCCAAUCCAUGAUACAACAUUUAAUCCCAUUUUAUGUUUCUGUUAAUAUUGAGAUAUACGUCCUCUUCGCAUUCGCUAUCUUCAUUUGUAUUUCCAUUUAAAUAGAAUUUCAACAUUAUACAUGUGCAUUAAUAUGAAUGUAGACAUCUUCUCUUCUUCUUAUACAUCUGUUCUGAUAAUCACUAUGACUAUACUAAGCAAACCACUUGACUCCACCUCGACAGUUUAAAGUACAACAACACAUGUAUCUUUUAACACAGCGCGGGGGCUCAGCUCCUCAACUUUCCCUUUGUUUUUUACUAUGAGUUACCAAAGCAAAGACAGCUGGGGAUUCUUCAUAGAGACUGUACGUUGCAUUGAGUUCUGAGACGCACUUUGCAAAGGUACUAAAAAUAUUGAGCAGACUCAAAUAGCAAAAGGAUCAAGAAAGACAAGAAAUUAUCUUUAAGGCGUCGAGGAAAAGAUCUUAGACGCAUCUUUAAGGUAAGGUAGAUAGGAAAAAGGAGCGCCGCCGAUCCGAAAGUCACCAUUGUGAUAAGACUUCAUACCUUCGGUGGAAGGCAAGCAAAGAGACAUCUUUGGAGGAAGCUUGUACAUGGAGACAAGCUGCGAGGGAGCAGAUAAGUGGUUGUUAGCGAGCCCAAUGGAUCCACCGAAAGCCUUGGGGAUAGGUUUCAAGGCAGUAGCAUCGUCAGUGCACAUCAAAGUCAACGUAGAGAUCUUUCGACGUCCAUGGAGUAUACUCCAUUAGGUGUGUAUAGUAAGCCAACAAUAUGUCAGAGGAGCCUCGCAUUGACUGGUCGAUCCGUAAACGAUG